This 521-nucleotide ribosomal RNA is filed under the name uncultured bacterium. Its description in RNAcentral is "bacterial SSU rRNA". It matches the Rfam family "Bacterial small subunit ribosomal RNA", at positions 988 to 1509 of the family's 1533-position model. The record is from RNAcentral.
CCAGAGAACUUAGCAGAGAUGCUUUGGUGCCUUCGGGAACUCUGAGACAGGUGCUGCAUGGCUGUCGUCAGCUCGUGUUGUGAAAUGUUGGGUUAAGUCCCGCAACGAGCGCAACCCUUAUCCUUUGUUGCCAGCGGCUCGGCCGGGAACUCAAAGGAGACUGCCGGUGAUAAACCGGAGGAAGGUGGGGAUGACGUCAAGUCAUCAUGGCCCUUACGGCCAGGGCUACACACGUGCUACAAUGGCGCAUACAAAGAGAAGCGACCUCGCGAGAGCAAGCGGACCUCAUAAAGUGCGUCGUAGUCCGGAUUGGAGUCUGCAACUCGACUCCAUGAAGUCGGAAUCGCUAGUAAUCGUAGAUCAGAAUGCUACGGUGAAUACGUUCCCGGGCCUUGUACACACCGCCCGUCACACCAUGGGAGUGGGUUGCAAAAGAAGUAGGUAGCUUAACCUUCGGGAGGGCGCUUACCACUUUGUGAUUCAUGACUGGGGUGAAGUCGUAACAAGGUAGGCGUAGCGAG